Molecule: long non-coding RNA, 674 nt
Organism: Lingula anatina
Lineage: Eukaryota; Metazoa; Brachiopoda; Lingulata; Lingulida; Lingulidae
Source: RefSeq, a predicted model, not a curated record
AUUCGAGAUGUAAACAAACACAAUUCAUGAGUGAUGAGAGACCACGCAUGUUUAGAGAACCUUAACAGGAAAAAAUUGACCUGGGAUAAAACAUGUAUGGCUUAUUUGGCAUGGGGCAAAAAAUCUUGGAAAGAAGAAUCUGAUAUCACUAGAUGGUCUGGGGGAAGCACACAGUCAGCAUGAACCUAUCCCACCAGAGGCUGAGAGGAACAAACCAUGGCUAGAACCUGGGUCACAUGCAGUUCCGGCACUGGUAGAAACUGUUCUAAACAAGAGGUUUCAAAACAACUUAUCUCAGGUUAUUAACACAGGUAAUAUACUUGUAGCAACAUUAGCAUAUUAUAGAGGAUACAAGUGGAGUUUUUGGCUCAUCACAAAGAACCUCUCCAGACCCAAAACUUGUUUAAGAAAAUGUUUAAGGACUAGCUGCUGUUAACAAGAUGACAAGAUGGGAAACUCUUUUUGUGUUUUCUCAGCUGUGUGCUGUUUUGUCUUAUAUGUAGACUCUGUUAGUACUGUGAUGGAUACUGUACGUAUAUAUUCAGGUACAAUGUAUGUUCUAAUUUAUGCAAAGAAUCGUUGUUAAACAACUCUGGUAGGAAAAUUGUAGAGCCUUGAUUUAUAAAAAUCACUAUAUAAAGUUAAAUCUAUACAAAUGUAGUAAGAGGCAUUUU